Molecule: transfer RNA, 71 nt
Filed under: marine sediment metagenome
Description: tRNA-Asp
Rfam family: tRNA
About the family: Transfer RNA (tRNA) molecules are approximately 80 nucleotides in length.
Source: RNAcentral
GUCGGGAUAGUGUAAUGGUAUCAUGCCGAGCUGUCUACUCGGCGAUGCGGAUUCGAUUUCCGCUCUCGACG